RNAcentral lists this ribosomal RNA (468 nucleotides) under uncultured bacterium. Its description in RNAcentral is "partial 16S ribosomal RNA". It matches the Rfam family "Bacterial small subunit ribosomal RNA", at positions 28 to 507 of the family's 1533-position model. The record is from RNAcentral.
GACGAACGCUGGCGGCGUGCCUAACACAUGCCAGUCGAACGGAAAGGCCCUGCUUUUGUGGGGUGCUCGAGUGGCGAACGGGUGAGUAACACGUGAGUAACCUGCCCUUGACUUUGGGAUAACUUCAGGAAACUGGGGCUAAUACCGGAUAGGAGCCCCUGCUGCAUGGUGGGGGUUGGAAAGUUUCGGCGGUUGGGGUUGGACGCGCGGCUUAUCAGCUUGUUGGUGGGGGAGUGGCUUACCAAGGCUUGGACGGUUAGCCGGCCUGAGAGGGUGACCGGCCACAGUGGGACUGAGGGAGGGCCCGGAGGGCAACGGGAGGCAUCGGUGGGAAAUUUUGCACGAUGGGCGGAGUGCGGAUGGAACGACGCCGGGUGGGGGAUGACUGCUUUCGGGGAAGAAAGCGCGUGAGCCUGUAACGAAGCGUGAGUGACGGUAAUGUGUAAAGAAGCACCGGCUAACUACGUG